RNAcentral lists this ribosomal RNA (253 nucleotides) under uncultured bacterium. RNAcentral describes it as "partial 16S ribosomal RNA". It matches the Rfam family "Bacterial small subunit ribosomal RNA", at positions 524 to 776 of the family's 1533-position model. The record is from RNAcentral.
UACGUAGGGGCCGAGCGUUGUCCGGAGUUAUUGGGCGUAAAGCGCGCGCAGGCGGCUUCGCGCGCCCGACGUGAAAGCCCCCGGCUUAACCGGGGAGAGUCGUUGGGGACGGCGGGGCUUGAGGGCGGGAGAGGUCGGUGGAAUUCCCGGUGUAGUGGUGAAAUGCGUAGAGAUCGGGAGGAACACCGGUGGCGAAGGCGGCAUCCUGGACCGAGAUUGACGCUGAGGCGCGAAAGCCAGGGGAGCAAACGGG